UGGUUCUGGCAUCGAUGAAGAACGCAGCGAAAUGCGAUAAGUAAUGUGAAUUGCAGAAUUCAGUGAAUCAUCGAAUCUUUGAACGCACAUUGCGCCUAAUAGUAUUCUGUUAGGCAUGCCUGUUCGAGCGUCAUUUCAACCCCCAAGCCCUAUUUUUGCUUGACGUUGGGAAUUUACGGAGACGUAAUUCCUUAAAUAUAGUGGCGGAGCUAGGUCUUGCUCUAAGCGUAGUAAUUAUAUUCUCGCUUCUGUAGCCGGCCUGCCUCCUGCCGUAAAACCCCCUAUAUUUUAUACUGGUUGACCUCGGAUCAGGUAGGAAUACCCGCUGA
Molecule: unclassified non-coding RNA, 329 nt
Filed under: uncultured fungus
Lineage: Eukaryota; Fungi
Description: partial contains 5.8S ribosomal RNA and internal transcribed spacer 2
Rfam family: 5.8S ribosomal RNA (bases 1-133)
Source: RNAcentral